RNAcentral lists this ribosomal RNA (118 nucleotides) under Sinocyclocheilus rhinocerous. The record is from RNAcentral. Lineage: Eukaryota; Metazoa; Chordata; Actinopteri; Cypriniformes; Cyprinidae.
GCCAGCAGCCAUAUCACCCUGUAGUCCAAGACUGGUUGCCCACUGAAGCUAAGCAGGGCUGAGCCUGGUCAGUACCUGGAUGGGAGACCUCCUGAGAAAAACUAGGUUGCUGCUGGAA